Molecule: transfer RNA, 69 nt
Filed under: Dicrurus macrocercus (black drongo)
Lineage: Eukaryota; Metazoa; Chordata; Aves; Passeriformes; Dicruridae
Also listed under: 1 other name
Description: tRNA-Ala
Rfam family: tRNA
About the family: Transfer RNA (tRNA) molecules are approximately 80 nucleotides in length.
Source: RNAcentral
AAAAUCCUAGCUUAAUUAAAGCGUCUGAGUUGCAUUUAGGAGAUGCAGGGUAAUGUCCUGCGGAUUUUA